Cyprinus carpio carpio is the source of this 258-nucleotide long non-coding RNA. Lineage: Eukaryota; Metazoa; Chordata; Actinopteri; Cypriniformes; Cyprinidae. The record is from Ensembl.
GUGAUGCUCCAUGCCAUGCUUAGCUCCUUAAUUUGCCGCUGGAGUGCUUGGCCCCGUAAUUGCUGCUUGCAGCUAUAUUUAUUAGGGGCCAAGCACCGAAGGUGCUUAGGCACCUAUUGUAUCCGUUGGCGUUAUUCUUCUUCUUCUUCUUCUUCUUCUUCUUCUUCUUCUUCUUCUUCCGCCACAAGUCUAUGGCAGCCCAUAGAACCGAUUGCGGGAAAGUUGUAUAAUUUGGCACACUGAUAGAGGACAGUCCCA